This 138-nucleotide ribosomal RNA is filed under the name Danio rerio (zebrafish). Lineage: Eukaryota; Metazoa; Chordata; Actinopteri; Cypriniformes; Danionidae. The record is from RNAcentral.
UUUGACAACUCAAUUGUUUUUUGUUUAAUCCACUUAAUUUUCUAAAAACUAAUAAUUCGCCCACUGAAGCUAAGCAGGGCUGCGCCCGGUCAGUACCUGGAUGGGAGACCACAUGGGAAAACUAGGUUGCUGCCGGAA